This is a small nuclear RNA of Tachyglossus aculeatus (Australian echidna), 104 nucleotides long. The record is from RefSeq and is a predicted model, not a curated record. Lineage: Eukaryota; Metazoa; Chordata; Mammalia; Monotremata; Tachyglossidae.
AUGGACCCUUGUGCACGUAUACUAAAAAUGGAACGACACAGAGAAGAUUGGCAUGGCCCCUGAGCAAGGAUGACGCGCAAAUUUGGGAAGCGUUCCAUUUUUUG